GAUCCUGGCUCAGGACGAACGCUGGCGGCGUGCUUAACACAUGCAAGUCGAGCGAGAGUCACUGGAAGGAGUUUUCGGACAACGGAAGGUGAGGACAGUGGCGGACGGGUGAGUAACGCGUGAGGAACCUGCCUUUCAGAGGGGGACAACAGUUGGAAACGACUGCUAAUACCGCAUGACACAUAGAGAUCGCAUGGUUUUUAUGUCAAAGAUUUAUCGCUGAAAGAUGGCCUCGCG
Molecule: ribosomal RNA, 237 nt
Filed under: uncultured bacterium
Lineage: Bacteria
Description: partial 16S ribosomal RNA
Rfam family: Bacterial small subunit ribosomal RNA
Source: RNAcentral